Molecule: ribosomal RNA, 492 nt
Filed under: uncultured bacterium
Lineage: Bacteria
Description: partial 16S ribosomal RNA
Rfam family: Bacterial small subunit ribosomal RNA
Source: RNAcentral
AGUGAACGCUGGCGGUAGGCCUAACACAUGCAAGUCGAACGGCAGCACAGUAAGAGCUUGCUCUUACGGGUGGCGAGUGGCGGACGGGUGAGGAAUACAUCGGAAUCUACUUUUUCGUGGGGGAUAACGUAGGGAAACUUACGCUAAUACCGCAUACGACCUACGGGUGAAAGCAGGGGAUCUUCGGACCUUGCGCGAUUGAAUGAGCCGAUGUCGGAUUAGCUAGUUGGCGGGGUAAAGGCCCACCAAGGCGACGAUCCGUAGCUGGUCUGAGAGGAUGAUCAGCCACACUGGAACUGAGACACGGUCCAGACUCCUACGGGAGGCAGCAGUGGGGAAUAUUGGACAAUGGGCGCAAGCCUGAUCCAGCCAUACCGCGUGGGUGAAGAAGGCCUUCAGGUUGUAAAGCCCUUUUGUUGGGAAAGAAAAGCAGCAGGCUAAUACCCCGCUGUUCUGACGGUACCCAAAGAAUAAGCACCGGCUAACUUCGUG